GCCCAAGCCUUAACCUAAACCCUUACCCUCCAUGGCUCUUCCCAAUUGAAGACCCUAGCUCUCUCCUCCACCAUCUCCAUCUCCAUCGUCCAAACCCUAACACCAACCCAAACCCCAACCCUAACCCUUACCCUAACCAUAACCCUGACCCGAUAGCUCAUGUUAACCCUAAUUAGGGACCUAACCUAAACCCUAAGUCUAACCCAAACCCUAUCGGUAACCCUAGCUCUAACCCA
This 236-nucleotide long non-coding RNA is filed under the name Elaeis guineensis (African oil palm). RNAcentral's name for it is "long non-coding RNA (EGUI_LNC035979)". The record is from RNAcentral. Lineage: Eukaryota; Viridiplantae; Streptophyta; Magnoliopsida; Arecales; Arecaceae.